RNAcentral lists this ribosomal RNA (253 nucleotides) under uncultured bacterium. RNAcentral's name for it is "partial 16S ribosomal RNA". It matches the Rfam family "Bacterial small subunit ribosomal RNA", at positions 524 to 776 of the family's 1533-position model. The record is from RNAcentral.
UACGGGGGGGGUAAGCGUUGUUCGGAAUUACUGGGCGUAAAGGGCUCGUAGGCGGCCAACUAAGUCAGACGUGAAAUCCCUCAGCUUAACUGGGGAACUGCGUCUGAUACUGGAUGGCUUGGAUUCGGGAGAGGAAUGCGGAAUUCCAGGUGUAGCGGUGAAAUGCGUAGAUAUCUGGAGGAACACCGGUGGCGAAGGCGGCAUUCUGGACCGACAUUGACGCUGAGGAGGGAAAGCUAGGGGAGCAAACAGG